AAGGUAACGUCAAUUCAGUUGCUUAUUAACCAACUGACCUUCUUCUCUUUUGAAAGUGCUUUACAACCCUCGGGCCUUCUUCACACACGCGGCAUUGCUGGAUCAGGGUUGCCCCCAUUGUCCAAUAUUCCCC
RNAcentral lists this ribosomal RNA (133 nucleotides) under uncultured bacterium. Its description in RNAcentral is "partial 16S ribosomal RNA". The record is from RNAcentral.